UAUGUAGGUGGCAAGCGUUAUCCGGAUUUAUUGGGUGUAAAGGGCGUGUAGGCGGGAAAGCAAGUCAGAUGUGAAAACUCAGGGCUCAACCCUGAGCCUGCAUUUGAAACUGUUUUUCUUGAGUGCUGGAGAGGCAAUCGGAAUUCCGUGUGUAGCGGUGAAAUGCGUAGAUAUACGGAGGAACACCAGUGGCGAAGGCGGAUUGCUGGACAGUAACUGACGCUGAGGCGCGAAAGCGUGGGGAGCAAACAGG
This 253-nucleotide ribosomal RNA is filed under the name uncultured bacterium. Its description in RNAcentral is "partial 16S ribosomal RNA". It matches the Rfam family "Bacterial small subunit ribosomal RNA", at positions 524 to 776 of the family's 1533-position model. The record is from RNAcentral.